Long non-coding RNA from Phlebotomus papatasi, 382 nucleotides. RefSeq lists it as uncharacterized. Lineage: Eukaryota; Metazoa; Arthropoda; Insecta; Diptera; Psychodidae. The transcript has 3 exons. The record is from RefSeq and is a predicted model, not a curated record.
AAAAAUUCCUAUGGAUUAAUCAGUGAAUAGACCAAAUAAAAACCAAGAGGAACAGUAAAAUUUCAACCCUAACGAAAUAAUAUUAAAAAUCUGUAGUGAGUGAAUUAAGAAAGACAUAUAUACCUCAAGGAGGAAGUAUUAUUCAAAAUUAAGAAAGAGAUGGCUCAUCUAUCACCACCACCAUCUCCGCCGAUUCCUCAGCAGUAUCCCUUUCCGGGAUUGCAGCAUCUUGAAUCGCCGGCUAGUGUUAUUCAGAGAGCAUCAUCCGUCUUUGGAGCUUCUUUGGAGCACAAAUGGAAUCCAAGAGAUCUCUCUCUUCUGUACAAUCCACUUUUGUACUCUGGUGCUUUUUUCUGGCCACCACUUCUCUUGCCAUGUCCAC